RNAcentral lists this ribosomal RNA (453 nucleotides) under uncultured bacterium. RNAcentral describes it as "bacterial SSU rRNA". It matches the Rfam family "Bacterial small subunit ribosomal RNA", at positions 340 to 786 of the family's 1533-position model. The record is from RNAcentral.
UACGGAAGGCAGCAGUGGGGAAUAUUGCACAAUGGGCGCAAGCCUGAUGCAGCCAUGCCGCGUGUAUGAAGAAGGCCUUCGGGUUGUAAAGUACUUUCAGUCGUGAGGAAGGUGUUAAGGUUAAUAACCUUAGCAAUUGACGUUAGCGACAGAAGAAGCACCGGCUAACUCCGUGCCAGCAGCCGCGGUAAUACGGAGGGUGCGAGCGUUAAUCGGAAUUACUGGGCGUAAAGGGCACGCAGGCGGUUAAUUAAGUUGGAUGUGAAAUCCCCGGGCUUAACCUGGGAAUGGCAUUCAAGACUGGUUAGCUAGAGUCUUGUAGAGGGGGUAGAAUUCCAUGUGUAGCGGUGAAAUGCGUAGAGAUGUGGAGGAAUCCGGUAGCGAAGGCGGCCCCUGGACAAAGACUGACGCUCAUGUGCGAAAGCGUGGGGAGCAAACGAGGGAUUAGAUACC